This 83-nucleotide transfer RNA is filed under the name Xenopus tropicalis (tropical clawed frog). Its description in RNAcentral is "Xenopus (Silurana) tropicalis (western clawed frog) tRNA". It matches the Rfam family "tRNA". From Rfam's summary of the family: Transfer RNA (tRNA) molecules are approximately 80 nucleotides in length. Their secondary structure includes four short double-helical elements and three loops (D, anti-codon, and T loops). The record is from Rfam by way of RNAcentral. Lineage: Eukaryota; Metazoa; Chordata; Amphibia; Anura; Pipidae.
GUCAGGGUGACCGAGCGGUCUAUGGCGCUGCGUUCAGGUUGCAGUCUACUCUGGAGGCGUGAGUUCGAAUCCCACUUCUGACA